UACGGAGGAUGCAAGCGUUAUCCGGAUUCACUGGGUUUAAAGGGUGCGUAGGCGGGCAGGUAAGUCAGAGGUGAAAUCUCCGGGCUCAACCCGGAAACUGCCUUUGAUACUAUCUGUCUUGAAUAUGGUGGAGGUAAGCGGAAUAUGUCAUGUAGCGGUGAAAUGCUUAGAGAUGACAUAGAACACCUAUUGCGAAGGCAGCUUACUACGCCUAUAUUGACGCUGAGGCACGAAAGCGUGGGGAUCAAACAGG
Molecule: ribosomal RNA, 253 nt
Filed under: uncultured bacterium
Lineage: Bacteria
Description: partial 16S ribosomal RNA
Rfam family: Bacterial small subunit ribosomal RNA
Source: RNAcentral